AUGGUCAGCUUUGCCCCAAACUGCUGCUCCUUUUCCUCGAACCUAUGUCUCUUAAGUUCGGGGGAUCAUCAUGUUCGGAUUCCAGAAGGUCACCCCAUCAUUGUGCAACCAAAACGAUGGGCGCUGUUGGAGAUCAUAUUGCCAAUUGCCGCGGCAGCUAGUGGAGUGAUCAAUGAUAAGGAAGGUGAUUUUGAUGGCCAAUUCACAGUAGAGAUUCAUCACAAAGGAUUCUUCUCUGGAACUGACAACAAUAGGAGCUACAUUGACUAUGAAGUUGAUUGGUUCGAUCAUUGUGAUUGUGACACUUGGUCUAUACUGUGGAUUGAAGACUUUGUGAAGCAGCUGGGCUAUGAUCGAGAGACAUGGCAGCAUGAUGUAUACUGGUGUCUACCUGGAAAGACAAUUAAUGAAGGAAUGAGAGAGAUGAAGUGUGAUGCUGAUAGCCUUGCAAUGAUAGCAGCUAGCACAGUACACAAGAAUUUGUUGCUGCUCGUAGACCAUGGAGAGACAGUGAACAACCUUCUUACAGAUGAUGUUACAGUUGAUGCACUGCCUGAGUUGCCAAAGGUCAUAACCCCAAAAAAAGAUGGCAAGGGCAAAGAACAAGCUAGCUCAACUGAAGUGAGAAGUAGAGCAAGGAGAUUGUUUACUGAAGCAACAUCUUCAGGAUAUGCUGAUGAAGAAAUGGAGGAAGAAGGUGAAAAGGGUGCGGCGGAUUCAGAAACAGAUGAGGAAUUCUAUGACAGUGACUAUGAUAUUAUGGAUGGGGAUGAUGAUUUGUAUGAGGAACAUGUUGACAAAGAGGUGGACGAUCAUAGAGAAAAAGUUUAUACAUGUGACUAUGAAACAGAGCUAGCAGAAGAUGCUCUAGAUGAUCCUACCAUAAUGUUAUCCAAAGAAGAGAGGGACAAGCUCAAGUACAACUUCAAGGGUUUCAACCCAGAAACUGAUUUGAAUGCCCCUGUAUUCAGAUUAGGUAUGGUGUUUGGUACUGUUGAGGAGCUGAGGCGUGCUAUUACCUCUUAUAGCAUCAGAAACAGAGUUGCAAUUAAAAAGACCAGAAACACAUCAACUACAGUAGAAGCAGAAUGCAUUGAUGAUUGCCCAUGGUACUUGAAAGCAGGGAUGGACAACAGGAAAAAUAGCUUUGUGAUCAAGAAAUACUGUGAUCAGCACACGUGUCCUAAGACAUGGAAGCUGAAGGGUCUAACUGCUCCAUUUUUAACCAAAAAAUUCAGAGAUGAGUUCAGGGGCAAUGAAAAGAUGCCAUUGCAGAAAUUCGAGGAGAAGGUUCAGCAGGAGUACAAUCUAAUUCCAAGUAGGAGCAAAUUGGGAAGGGCUAGAAGAGCAUCAGUAAAGCAGAUCAGAGGUGAGGAUGAUGACCAGUAUAAGAUGUUAUGGGAUUAUGGAGAGGAAUUGAGGCAAACAAACCCUGGCAGCAAGUUCUACCUUUGCACAAAGGAGAUUUUUGAUGAAAAGACCAAGGAGACAAAGGAACAUUUUUCAACUUUGUACUGGUCAUUGGAUGCAUGCAAGAGAGGCUGGUUGAUGGGGUGUAGGCCAAUAAUAUUUGUAGAUGGAUGUCACAUUAAGACCAGGUACAAAGGGAAUUUACUGACAGCUGUGGGUAUUGACCCCAAUGAUUGUAUUUUCCCCAUAGCAUUUGGGAUUGUGGAAGUGGAGUCCACUAGCAGCUGGGAGUGGUUUUUGGCUAGCCUAAAGGAUGAUCUCAAUAUAUGCAACACCUCUCCAUACACAAUCAUGAGUGAUAAGCAGAAGGGUCUUAUAGCUGCAGUUGCAAAGGUGUGGCCAGACGCUGAACACAGGUUUUGUGUCAGGCAUAUGUAUCAAAAUUUCCACAAGCUUCACAAGGGGGAACAACUAAAGAACAAUAUGUGGGCCAUUGCAAGGGCUACAGACACUCCAACAUACAACAAAGCAAUGGAGAAGAUGAAGGCAGACAGUGUGCCUGCAUACGAAUGGGUUGAGAAAUGGCCACCAAGAACAUGGAUUAAAGCUUUUUUUAAUCCUUUUCCAAAGUGUGACAUCCUGCUAAAUAACAUGUCUGAAGUAUUUAACAGUUGGAUUUUGCCAGCCAGAGAACUUCCUAUUUACUCGAUGGUUGAAAACAUAAACAGCAAGAUCACAGCAAGGAUAUACAGCAAGCAGAUGGAAGUUGCAGAAGAUAGGAAAUGGAGUAUGAGAUUGUGCCCAAAAAUUCAGAAAAAAUUGGACAAGUACACUGAUUGGGCUGCAAACUGCAUGGUCUUUGGAGCUGGUCAGAAGGUUUUCAAGGUUGUGUCAAUGAACCACUCCUACAUAGUGGACUUGGAAAUGGAAACCUGUAACUGCAAGAGAUGGGACUUGUCUGGCAUUCCAUGUCACCAUGCUAUUGCUUGUGCUAGAAAUGAGAGAAUUGACCCUGCAAGCCUAGUGCAUGAUUGUUAUUCAGUAGGGACAUACAAAAGGGCUUAUGCUUUUAAUGUAAAACCAGUGAGGGACCAGGAACAUUGGACUAAGAUGCAUGGCAUUGCUGUAUAUCCACCAGUGUACACUAAGGUAAUGGGGAGACCAAGGAGGAAUAGAAAGAAAGAUCCAGAGGAGAAGUUGAUGAAAGAAGGAGGGAAAAAGUUGACAAAGCAUGGUGUAACCAUGCACUGCUCCCUUUGUGGAAGUGCAGACCACAACAAGAAAGGACACAAGAAGUGGGAGGAGACCACAAGAGAUGCUCCUCAACCUGCAAAUGUUGCAGAUGAUGAAGAAGAAGAGUAUGAUGAUCCUACAAUCAUUUCUAACAUACUGCCACACACAGUCCAUCCACACAUGGAUCCAAGUCAAACCCCAGGGUCCAUGGUUUUCCUCAUGCAGCAAAUGGAGAGGAGAGCGUACCAACCAAGUAUGGAUCAUGGACCUCUUCCAGAAUCAACAUUUGUUGCACAAGCAAGAAAUGACAUACCCCCUCCUAGGGUUACGACUGCUAUGUCAAGAGGUAGGGUUAGAAGAAGAGGAGUCACUGAAGACAUUCCAGAAGAUGUACCACAGUCAAGCAACCAAGCUGGAAUUUCAAGAGGAAGAAAGAGAAGAUCCACUGGAGCUGGUGGAGCAGCAGCUGGCAGGGGAGGCAGAGGAUCUAGAGAAGCAACUGGUAGGGGAGGAAGAGGUUUUGGAGCUAGUGGAGCAUCUAGCAGGGGAGGCAGGGGAGCUAGGGGAGCGGCUGGCAGGAGAGGUAGAGGAUCUGUACAGCAGACAAGCAACCAAGCAGCUGGAAGAGGAGCAGGGGAAGCAUAUACUGGACCAGGUGCUGAGGAAGCAUAUACUGGACCAGGUGCUGGGUUCUGGAACCUUAUGUUUGGACCAAAUUCAGAGAGUUCCUAUGUGCAAGCAGAAGAGGAGCCAGUGACCCAAAAUGCACCAAAUGAAGAGUGGAUUGAUGAUUUCCAAACCUUGUAG
RNAcentral lists this ribosomal RNA (3450 nucleotides) under Triticum aestivum (bread wheat). RNAcentral's name for it is "partial small subunit ribosomal RNA". The record is from RNAcentral. Lineage: Eukaryota; Viridiplantae; Streptophyta; Magnoliopsida; Poales; Poaceae.